AUGGCUCCUAAGGCGGCCAAGGCCCCUGUGACUUGCAAUUGGGUUCCAUCCACAGUAACCGCGGCCAAGCACCCUGUGACUUGCAAUUGGGUUCCAUCCACAGUAACCAAAAGCAAACUUGCCGAGUUUGUAAAGUCUGGCCAUCUGCCAAAAAAGGAGGCCAUGUCCUAUCGUGCCCCUCGUCCGUCUGAGGAGAUACCUCAACCCAAAGAUGGGGAGGUAGUAGUUUUCACAGACCAUAUGAACCGGGGAUUUUCCCCUCCCGGCUCAAAAUUCUUCAGGGAAGUUUUGGAUUUCUUUGACCUGAAGCCUCAAGACAUUGGACCCAAUUCCAUGUCAAAUCUGUGUAACUUCCAAGUCUUCUACGAGGUAUACUUACGAGAGGAACCAAGUCUGCUGCUGUUCAGAUAA
Molecule: ribosomal RNA, 411 nt
Filed under: Triticum aestivum (bread wheat)
Lineage: Eukaryota; Viridiplantae; Streptophyta; Magnoliopsida; Poales; Poaceae
Description: partial small subunit ribosomal RNA
Source: RNAcentral